AGAGGUUCAACAUUCAAUUUUGAGCGUCUCGUUAUAUUACGAGUCUCAUUCAGACAUCCGAGUAAAAAGUUAUUGUCGUUUGAAUUAUCUCAGAGUUUCAACAUUCAAUUUGGAGCGUCUCGUUAUGUUACGGGACUCAAUCAGACAUCCGAGUAAAAAGAUAUGGUCGUUUGAAUUAGCUCAGAGCUUCAACAUUCAAUUUCGAGCGUCUCGAUAUGUUACAGGACUCAAUCAGACAUCCGAGUAAAAAGUUAUUGUCGUUUGAAUUUGCUCAGAGCAUCAACAUUCAAUUUCGAGCGUCUCGAUAUAUUACGGGACUCAAUCAAACAUCCGA
This 334-nucleotide long non-coding RNA is filed under the name Glycine max (soybean). RNAcentral's name for it is "long non-coding RNA (GMAX_LNC004728)". Lineage: Eukaryota; Viridiplantae; Streptophyta; Magnoliopsida; Fabales; Fabaceae. The record is from RNAcentral.